This is a long non-coding RNA of Oncorhynchus keta (chum salmon), 1255 nucleotides long. RefSeq lists it as uncharacterized. The record is from RefSeq and is a predicted model, not a curated record. NCBI's taxonomy places the organism in Eukaryota, Metazoa, Chordata, Actinopteri, Salmoniformes, Salmonidae. The transcript is spliced from 2 exons.
AAACACAUGGAGCAACUGCGAAAAGAAAGGGCUGAGGAUAUACUAAAAAUGUCUGGUAUGUAAUGACAUUUAAUUCAAAGUCAAUGUAAAUUCUUUAUUUGUAUGUGGUUGUGUGGGACAGCCAUAUGUUCAGUUCAUGCCUAUGAUUUCAGAGUUCAACAAAGCCAACAACAGCUUCAUGUGUGCCGCUGAUAAAGAACCUGGAUGUAGCCCAAAGACUGACUGGGAAUGAAGACUAAAGAGUUCAACGGAGUAAAGAACACAAACUGGAAGUGCAGUCUUUGUUGUUGAAAAUGUAGGCUAUACCCCAUCCACACUGAAGAGGCUCUGAAAUGUACAUCAACCAGGGUUAAUGUAUGCUAUACCCCAUCCACACUGAAGAGGCUCUGAAAUGUACAUCAACCAGGGUUAAUGUAUGCUAUACCCCAUCCACACUGAAGAGGCUCUGAAAUGUACAUCAACCAGGGUUAACGUAUGCUAUACCCCAUCCACACUGAAGAGGCUCUGAAAUGUACAUCAACCAGGGUUAAUGUAUGCUAUACCCCAUCCACACUGAAGAGGCUCUGAAAUGUACAUCAACCAGGGUUAAUGUAUGCUAUACCCCAUCCACACUGAAGAGGCUCUGAAAUGUACAUCAACCAGGGUUAAUGUAUGCUAUACCCCAUCCACACUGAAGAGGCUCUGAAAUGUACAUCAACCAGGGCUAAUGUAUGCUAUACCCCAUCCACACUGAAGAGGCUCUGAAAUGUACAUCAACCAGGGUUAAUGUAUGCUAUACCCCAUCCACACUGAAGAGGCUCUGAAAUGUACAUCAACCAGGGUUAAUGUAUGCUAUACCCCAUCCACACUGAAGAGGCUCUGAAAUGUACAUCAACCAGGGUUAAUGUAUGCUAUACCCCAUCCACACUGAAGAGGCUCUGAAAUGUACAUCAACCAGGGUUAAUGUAGGCUAUACCCCAUCCACACUGAAGAGGCUCUGAAAUGUACAUCAACCAGGGUUAAUGUAUGCUAUACCCCAUCCACACUGAAGAGGCUCUGAAAUGUACAUCAACCAGGGUUAAUGUAUGCUAUACCCCAUCCACACUGAAGAGGCUCUGAAAUGUACAUCAACCAGGGUUAAUGUAUGCUAUACCCCAUCCACACUGAAGAGGCUCUGAAAUGUACAUCAACCAGGGUUAAUGUAUGCUAUACCCCAUCCACACUGAAGAGGCUCUGAAAUGUACAUCAACCAGGGUUAAUGUAUGCUAUACCCCAU